Non-coding RNA from Arachis ipaensis, 405 nucleotides. The record is from RefSeq and is a predicted model, not a curated record. NCBI's taxonomy places the organism in Eukaryota, Viridiplantae, Streptophyta, Magnoliopsida, Fabales, Fabaceae.
GCGACCGUGUUAGGUGGCUGACGACGGAGUCAGAACAGAGAGAUGAAGACAUGAAGAGAAGGCUGACGAAAAGAAGAGGAAGAAGAAAGGAAAGAAGGUUGGUAAAGGUAACAUCCCUGAUCUGAUUCGAACAUCACAAGGUAGCAAAGGAAAAGAAAAGGAGGACAAGUAGUGAUGUGUCUCAAGUCUCAAUGCAAAGUGGUAGGUCGCUUUUGGGAUCUCAGUGGUUUAUGUUGUGCCUAUAAAAGGGGGAACCUCACACCACAAACUUGUUAAGCAUAGCCAAGUAUAGCAAAAACAAACUUCUAUUCUUCUAUUCUUCUUUGUGGAAGCAGAAUCUUGAGAAACAUGGAGGGAAAAAUGAGUUGGACAGUUGCAGAUGCUGUGGACUACAAAGGCUACCCU